Molecule: non-coding RNA, 590 nt
Organism: Arvicanthis niloticus (Nile rat)
Lineage: Eukaryota; Metazoa; Chordata; Mammalia; Rodentia; Muridae
Source: RefSeq, a predicted model, not a curated record
UGGUCUCUGGAUUUUCCCAGGAUGAGGUUUCCUCCCAAGGCAUGUCAUUUACAUAUCUUCCAGGAUAUAUCUUGGUUAAGUUUUGUGAGAUGAUGUUUGAAAUUCCUGGUCCAGAAUCUUCAAACUGAUGGCCCGAAUUCUUCAUGAGGACAGAGUACACAUGACAAGAAACCUGUUGCUGUCAGACUGUCAACCUGAAUAAAUGAUGACUCUAUGGAAGAAGAAGACAGCUACAGUAUGAAGCUGCCUGCCAUCGGAGAUUGCCUUCUUCCUGGGACCAUUUUUCCUUUGUAGGCAUCACUGGGAGAUGUAAUUUGCAUGCAUAAUAUUAAUUUUGAAAUGGCAAGUCAUCAUUCUUGUACUAUCACAUUCUCUUCGACGAUGUACCUUUAGAUUUAUGCAUUCAAUUAACAUGAAUAAUCAACGAAAUUUUAAGAGCCAGAGAGUGAUUCUUUCUGCCUUAGAUCUCUUCAGAUUUGUGUGAAGAAUCCUUUGCAAUAUAGAUUUCUCUGUUUAAGUAGAUAUUUUCUAAUGAAAAUAUAUUCUUUUUUUAAGUUUGCAUUUUAAUGUGGAGGGCAACCUAACUUGUA